Molecule: RNA transcript, 2378 nt
Organism: Bacillus rossius redtenbacheri
Lineage: Eukaryota; Metazoa; Arthropoda; Insecta; Phasmatodea; Bacillidae
Gene name: medium-chain acyl-CoA ligase ACSF2, mitochondrial-like
Exons: 6
Source: RefSeq, a predicted model, not a curated record
GACGCCGCAGUUUCAGCUCAGAGCGCGAAGGCAGAGGUCGCGUGCGGCUCCUUCUCACAGGUCUUCAAGCAUGUCCUCUGACACCGUGGACUACUACUCAAGGCGCCCGAGGCCCAGCUACUGGCAGCAGCCCGGGCCGGAGCCGCUCAUCUGCCUCACCGCCGGCCAGCUGGUCGACUGGGCGGGCGAGCGCUACGGCGCCCGGGAGGCGGUGGUGUCCGCCUACCAGGGCGUCCGCUGGAGCUUCGCGCGGGCCGCGCGGGAGGCCAACGAGCUUGCCGCUGGACUGCUAUCCUUGGGACUGCGCCCUGGGUACGUGGUCGCCCUGUGGGGGUACAACUCCAUCCACCACUACGUCACACCUCUGGCCACUGCCAAGGCGGGGCUGGUACUGGCGAAGCUGGACCCCCAGUACCAGGCGCCCGAGCUGGAGGUCUGCCUGAGCAAGGUGGGCGCCAGGCUGCUGAUUGCUGUAACAUCGAGCACACAGACAUGGCCCGACUCUAAUAGCCAAGAAGGAGCUAGUGGUUACUUGUGUUUGAGCCAAGGUGUCGGUGCUGCCCCCAGGCGAAGCUGGACCCCCAGUACCAGGCGCCCGAGCUGGAGGUCUGCCUGAGCAAGGUGGGCGCCAGGCUGCUGAUAGCUGUAACAUCGAGCACACAGACAUGGCCUGACUCUAAUAGCCAAGAAGGAGCUAGUGGUUACUUGUGUUUGAGCCAAGGUGUCGGUGCUGUCCCAGGCGAAGCUGGACCCCCAGUACCAGGCGCCCGAGCUGGAGGUCUGCCUGAGCAAGGUGGGCGCCAGGCUGCUGAUAGCUGUAACAUCGAGCACACAGACAUGGCCUGACUCUAAUAGCCAAGAAGGAGCUAGUGGUUACUUGUGUUUGAGCCAAGGUGUCGGUGCUGUCCCAGGCGAAGCUGGACCCCCAGUACCAGGCGCCCGAGCUGGAGGUCUGCCUGAGCAAGGUGGGCGCCAGGCUGCUGAUAGCUGUAACAUCGAGCACACAGACAUGGCCUGACUCUAAUAGCCAAGAAGGAGCUAGUGGUUACUUGUGUUUGAGCCAAGGUGUCGGUGCUGUCCCAGGCGAAGCUGGACCCCCAGUACCAGGCGCCCGAGCUGGAGGUCUGCCUGAGCAAGGUGGGCGCCAGGCUGCUGAUAGCUGUAACAUCGAGCACACAGACAUGGCCUGACUCUAAUAGCCAAGAAGGAGCUAGUGGUUACUUGUGUUUGAGCCAAGGUGUCGGUGCUGUCCCAGGCGAAGCUGGACCCCCAGUACCAGGCGCCUGAGCUGGAGGUCUGCCUGAGCAAGGUGGGCGCCAGGCUGCUGAUAGCUGUAACAUCGAGCACACAGACAUGGCCUGACUCUAAUAGCCAAGAAGGAGCUAGUGGUUACUUGUGUUUGAGCCAAGGUGUCGGUGCUGUCCCAGGCGAAGCUGGACCCCCAGUACCAGGCGCCCGAGCUGGAGGUCUGCCUGAGCAAGGUGGGCGCCAGGCUGCUGAUAGCUGUAAUAUCGAGCACACAGACAUGGCCUGACUCUAAUAGCCAAGAAGGAGCUAGUGGUUACUUGUGUUUGAGCCAAGGUGUCGGUGCUGUCCCAGGCGAAGCUGGACCCCCAGUACCAGGCGCCCGAGCUGGAGGUCUGCCUGAGCAAGGUGGGCGCCAGGCUGCUGAUAGCUGUAACAUCGAGCACACAGACAUGGCCUGACUCUAAUAGCCAAGAAGGAGCUAGUGGUUACUUGUGUUUGAGCCAAGGUGUCGGUGCUGUCCCAGGCGAAGCUGGACCCCCAGUACCAGGCGCCCGAGCUGGAGGUCUGCCUGAGCAAGGUGGGCGCCAGGCUGCUGAUAGCUGUAACAUCGAGCACACAGACAUGGCCUGACUCUAAUAGCCAAGAAGGAGCUAGUGGUUACUUGUGUUUGAGCCAAGGUGUCGGUGCUGUCCCAGGCGAAGCUGGACCCCCAGUACCAGGCGCCCGAGCUGGAGGUCUGCCUGAGCAAGGUGGGCGCCAGGCUGCUGAUCGUGGCGGAGACGGCGAGCUCGCAGGGAUACUACGACAUCGUCCGCGGCCUGUGUCCGGAGCUGGAGCGCUGCCCGCCGGGGGAACUGCGCAGCGCGCGACUGCCGCAGCUCUCCACGGUCGUGCUGUGCGGCGGUCAGCGCAGACCGGGAGCCUACCUUUUGGAUGAUGUCCUUAAACUGACAACCCCGGAUGGCAUCAGUAAGUUAUCCGAACUCCAAAACGCAAUUGAUCCCGAUGACGCUGCAUUCAUACAUUACACAUCGGGUACUACAGGCAGUCCCAAAGCAGCUGUUUGGUCCCACCACGCUGCUGUGAAUGCUUCAAAAGCCUUCGGGAGGGUUUUCAACCCAGAUUAUGAG